This is a long non-coding RNA of Coregonus clupeaformis (lake whitefish), 506 nucleotides long. RefSeq lists it as uncharacterized. The record is from RefSeq and is a predicted model, not a curated record. The transcript has 3 exons. NCBI's taxonomy places the organism in Eukaryota, Metazoa, Chordata, Actinopteri, Salmoniformes, Salmonidae.
CUGUUUUUCACUAUGCUCUUAAGCUUAGGGUGGACCUCACCCUGACAUAACCACUAACCAUAGUAUGUGAGUCUACAGUGGCCUCUCAUUCAUCUCCACUUAAACUGAACACAAAAGACAGGUGAAAAAAAAAAAGCAGUUUCCUAUCUAUGCUAAAGUUAGAAGGGUGAAGGGUGUUUUUCUCCUCGGGGCUGCAGCAGAGGUAUCCAUAACAGAGAGAAGCCAGCGGAGCAGAUCAGGCCGGAGGUGAAGAGGUCAGAGGGGAGGAGAGAGAAAGGAGGAGCUAAAGCCUCGUGGUGACCCCUGUAUCACCCAGGCUCCUAAACCACUGGCGCUAAUACACAGACCCAGUGGUGAUGAGCCCCUGGUCAGUCUUCAGCAGAAGGUGUCCUCCUUUCUGAGACAGGCUCUGGAGAAAGUCCAGCUGGCAGAGAGCAGCCAGCCUGACAACACAGGGGGAGGAGGUGAAGAUUGGCACAUCCUGUAAGAAUGGAGGCUGCACCAAG